RNAcentral lists this ribosomal RNA (564 nucleotides) under uncultured eukaryote. RNAcentral's name for it is "SSU rRNA". It matches the Rfam family "Eukaryotic small subunit ribosomal RNA", at positions 4 to 564 of the family's 1831-position model. The record is from RNAcentral.
CUGGUUGAUCCUGCCAGUAGUCAUAUGCUUGUCUCAAAGAUUAAGCCAUGCAUGUCUAAGUAUAAACAACUUUAUACUGUGAAACUGCGAACGGCUCAUUAUAUCAGUAAUAAUUUAUUUGAUGGUUCCUUACUACAUGGAUAACUGUGGUAAUUCUAGAGCUAAUACAUGCGUAAAGUCCCAACUCUCGCGGGGAGGGAUGUAUUUAUUAGAUAAAAAACCAAUGCGGCCUUUGGCCGGUUUUGUGGUGAAUCAUAGUAACUUUUCGAAUCGCAUGGCUUCACGCCGGCGAUAGUUCAUUCAAAUUUCUGCCCUAUCAGCUUUCGACGGUAGUGUAGUGGACUACCGUGGCAUUAACGGGUAACGGAGAAUUAGGGUUCGGUUCCGGAGAGGGAGCCUGAGAAACGGCUACCACAUCCAAGGAAGGCAGCAGGCGCGCAAAUUACCCAAUCUCGAUACGAGGAGGUAGUGACAAAAAAUAACAAUACAGGGCAUCCAUGUCUUGUAAUUGGAAUGAGUAGACUUUAAAUCCCUUUACGAGUACCAAUUGGAGGGCAAGUCUGG